Molecule: ribosomal RNA, 393 nt
Filed under: Uroglenopsis americana
Lineage: Eukaryota; Chrysophyceae; Chromulinales; Chromulinaceae
Description: partial small subunit ribosomal RNA
Rfam family: Eukaryotic small subunit ribosomal RNA
Source: RNAcentral
GCUUGUCUCAAAGAUUAAGCCAUGCAUGUCUAAGUAUAAACAAAUCUAUACGUGAAACUGCGAAUGGCUCAUUAUAUCAGUUAUAGUUUAUUUGAUGGUUCAUACUACUUGGAUAACCGUAGUAAUUCUAGAGCUAAUACAUGCGUCAAAACCCGACUCCUGGGAGGGUUGUAUUUAUUAGAUGGAAACCAAUGCGGGGCAACCCGGUAUAUGGUGAUUCAUAAUAACUUUCGGAUCGAUCUUCGGAUCGAUGCAUCAUUCAAGUUUCUGCCCUAUCAGCUUUGGAUGGUAGGGUAUUGGCCUACCAUGGUGACCACGGGUAACGGGGGAUUAGGGUUCGAUUCCGGAGAGGGCGCCUGAGAAAUGGCGACCACUUCUAAGGAAGGCAGCAGG